This is a non-coding RNA of Cherax quadricarinatus, 3758 nucleotides long. Lineage: Eukaryota; Metazoa; Arthropoda; Malacostraca; Decapoda; Parastacidae. The record is from RefSeq and is a predicted model, not a curated record.
CCUCCGUCCACUCUGACGUCCACCAUCAACCUGCGAACAUCAUCUACACUCUUACCUCUCAAUAACCACCAUAAUGAUACUAUUUUGGUGGAAUUCCCUCGGUAGGGGGUGGAGAGAAGACUCCUCGUGAGUUCCCAGUAAUGAUGUUGCAUCACUGGGACAAGUUAAUAUCCUUAUCAGUGUACUUGCCGACAGAGGCUCAAAGUUGGCAGAAAAUGAGCGGCGUAUGGCAGCAGCGGCGAAUGCCACCCACCCGGUAUUUUAUUUACUCCAAUUCGAAGGUGCAGUAGUGGAAUGAGAAGUGCAAGACAGAGGACUUGCUGAUCAGAUCUCAAGAGGGGCAUUGCAGAAAAUGGAUUGUGAAAUGCAGAGCAGCCACCACAUGAUCAGUGCUCUUGGGCUGUCAACUAAGAAGUAUUUGGAGCAGGUCUGACUGCAAGCUUUCCUCUUGUCUGGCCCAGUUAAAUGGAAGUGCCCCUGGGUUGUCAACCAAGCAGACUUGAGGUAAAAGUUUGAGGCUUAGAUAAAAAUUUAUGAAAACAUACUAUACAGCCGCUCCUCGCUUGGCAACGUACUAUUUACCGACGACUUACACAGGCUCUGACCAGUAAUGCAUACCCAAGUGUAUAAGGUGCCCAGAUGUUAUGGCUUAGAUGUCGCUCCAAACAGCUAAUAUCCCAAACCCCUCCUUCAACAUGCAGGCUUUGUACUUCCAACCUCCAGGACUCGAGUCUGGCUUAGACCCUUGUAGGAUUGGAGGGUGUCCUGACAUUCACCUUCUCCAGACUAGGUAAUGAUGUUGCAUCACUGGGACAAGUUAAUAUCCUUAUCAGUGUACUUAUCGAGAUAGGCGCAAAGUUGGCAGAAAAUGAGUGGCGUAUGGCAGCAGCGGUGAAUGCCACCCACCCAGUAUUCCUUUAUUUACUCCAAUUCGAAGGUUUCUUGUGUUUUCCAAUAUUUUUCUUUUCUAAGUAACUUGUGUGGCCUGUGAGACCAAAGGUGCAUUGUUCAAAUAUACACUCAUUGGUUACAACACAAUAACUGAAACAUUAUCUUAGGGUAUUUUACAGAACAAUGUUUCAGUAUAUACUGUUUGUAAUAUUGGUUUCCUAGGUGCAGUAGUGGAAUGAGAAGUGCAAGACAGAGGACUUGCUGCUGAUCAGGUUUUAUCAUUGGACUGAAUAUCAAACAAGAUCUCAAGAGGGGCAUUGCAGAAAAUAGAUUGUGAAAUGCAGAGCAACCACCACAUGAUCAGAUCUCAAGAGGGGCAUUGCAGAAAAUGGAUUGUGAAAUGCAGAGCAGCCACCACAUGAUCAGUGCUCUUGGGCUGUCAACUAAGAAGUAUUUGGAGCAGGUCUGACUGCAAGCUUUCCUCUUGUCUGGCCCAGUUAAAUGGAAGUGCCCCUGGGUUGUCAACCAAGCAGACUUGAGAGGUGCCCAGAUAUUAUGGCGUAGAUGUCGCUCUGAACAGCUGAUAUCCCAAACCCCUCCUUCAACAUGCAGGCAUUGUACUUCCAACCUCCAGGACUCGAGUCUGGCUAGACCCUUGUAGGUUUGUAAUUUCUUGAUUACAGUAUUAAUAAUCUGGCUAACUGGUUUCCCUGAAUCUCUUCACAAAAUAUUACCCUGUUCACACUUCAACAGCUUGUCCAGUCUCAAAAGCCAUUAAGUCUCCAUUCACAACAAUCUUAUGCUCAUAUGCCUGCUGCAUAUCCAGGCCCCUUGCCCAUACCCCCUCCCCCCUGCCCCCUUAUUUUUUCUGUAUCUGUGCUCUAUGACCUUGUGGUUUUUGUGCUUUUGAUAAUUACCUCCCCCCUCCCCUCCUACAGAUUUAUACUACUCCACCUCUCUAAAUGAUCAAUUCAUCUCGAUAACUCCUCUUCAGCCCUCUGAAUAAUACUUGUAGGAACUCCACACCUCUAAAUUUCCACAAAUUCUUUGCAUAAUAUUUACACCACAUGUUGGCCUUACACAUCUCCGUUGUCUGCAGCCCCUUUUGCACUGCAGCAUUCACAACCCAUGCUUCACAUCCACAAGUGUUGGUAGCACUAUAAUCUUGUACAUUUAGUCUUUUUCUUUCUUUGUUUUUCUGUUUCUCUAUACCACCCUCCCUGAGGGUUUGACAAGGUUAGGUUAAGGAUCCCUAGCUUUGACAAGCUAAGAACUGUUACCUACAUCAGCUCAUUUGAAAGCAUUUGUAUUAUGACAAAAGUAGGGAACAGGAUGAAGUUGGAGCCAUCUGUGGGGCCAGCAUUUUCAUCUGAUCAACCGACUCUCGUUGACAUAAUGCUGUACGAAUGUGUUCCAUACUAGUAAUCCUGGGGAUAAAUGAUCUCUUCCUAUUCCCCUCCUUUUUCUUUCUCACCAGAUACCUCAGGGCACUUUUUUUUUUUUUUUUAUUUUUUUUUUAUCAUCACACUGGCCGAUUCCCACCAAGGCAGGGUGGCCCGAAAAAGAAAAACUUUCACCAUCAUUCGCUUCAUCACUGUCUUGCCAGAAGGGUGCUUUACACUACAGUUUUUAAACUGCAACAUUAACACCCCUCCUUUUUUUCCCCCUUCAUAAAUUCUAUGGUUAACAUCAUCCUUCAUAAACCAACACAUUUGCUUACAAAUCUACUCCAAAUAUCUGAAGACUUGCUUCAUCCUCACAUCCAGUUUUUCUUUACCUAACUAGUUUGAUGCCUUCAUAACUGUGUUCACUUUCAACUUUUUCUUUACGCGCCCUCCUAAACUCGUCCACUAACCUUUACAACUUCUCUUUAGAAUCUCCCCAAAGUGCAGUAUCAUCAGCAAGAAGUAACUCCUUUCAUUUUGUAUUUAAUUCCCCAAAAUUUAAUCCCUCUCCCCAACACCCUAGGGUUUGCUACUUUUACAGCUCCAUCUAUAAAUGUUAAUCAUCCAUGGUGACACUACACAUCCCUGCCUAAAGCCUUCUUUUACUGGAAAGUAAUCGCCCUCCUACACACCCUAACCUCAGCCUCACUAUCUUCAUAAAUACUUUACAUACAGCAUUUAGUAACUUAAUACCUAUUCCAUGCACUUUCAACAUGUCACAUUGCUCUCGUAUCCAUCCUAUUAUAUGGCUUUUCUAAAUACAUAAAUGCAAUGAAAACCUCUACUUUUUAUCUAAAUAUUGUUCAUGUAGAUGCUUCAGUGUAAACAAAUGAUCUACUCCUUCUAAAGCUGCCUCGUUCAUCUGCAAUCCUGCUCUCCCUUACAUCUAUAAUUUUCAAUAACCUUAUCAUACACUAUAUAGUAUACUCUGUAAACUUUCAACAAACCAGUCAUAGUGCACCAAAGCAGGGUGGUCCAAUUAUAGUUGGAAUGUUAAAUUUUAUUUUCUAUAUUAAAACAUUUCUAAUAGACUAAUACUUUUACACAAUUUAUAAGACUUAAUCUUCAGGAUGUGACUUAACCCAAAAUUACUUUUUACUUUUCUGACCCAUUUUGGGGUCUUAAAUUUUUUCACUUCAUUCUCUCUUAACUUUCUUGACAAAUAUUUCUAAAGUGUGGUUUGUGAAUUUUGGAUUGCAAUAGUGCUUAUUCCAAGCAUUGAAGUCUAAAGGCAUCCCAGUGAAGACUGGAGUAAAAGGUGAAUAGAAUUCAGUAGGUUAGGGCUUUAGCAUCUAGCAGGCAUGUUUGAUAGAUUGGAGGGAAAGUUAGUUAUUGGUAUUGUAUGGGCUGUGGACAUGGGAACAUUCAGCAGAACUAGAUAGUUUGGAGAUAGUGCUUUUAUUUUGAAGGAUGAUGGAUAUU